GGUGGCUCAGUAGUUAAGUGCUCGGCUGCUAACCGAAAGGUCGGUGGUUUGAACCCACCAGCCACUC
Molecule: transfer RNA, 67 nt
Filed under: Loxodonta africana (African savanna elephant)
Lineage: Eukaryota; Metazoa; Chordata; Mammalia; Proboscidea; Elephantidae
Rfam family: tRNA
About the family: Transfer RNA (tRNA) molecules are approximately 80 nucleotides in length. Their secondary structure includes four short double-helical elements and three loops (D, anti-codon, and T loops).
Source: Rfam by way of RNAcentral